GACGAACUGUCCAAACGUUGUUCGGAAUCACUGGGCUUAAAGGGCGCGUAGGCGGGCCAUCAAGUCAGGGGUGAAAGCCCCCAGCUCAACUGGGGAAGUGCCUUUGAUACUGGUGGUCUCGAGGGGGAUAGGGGCAUGCGGAACUUCCGGUGGAGCGGUGAAAUGCGUAGAUAUCGGAAGGAACACCGGUGGCGAAAGCGGCGUGCUGGGUCCCUUCUGACGCUGAGGCGCGAAAGCCAGGGGAGCGAACGGG
RNAcentral lists this ribosomal RNA (253 nucleotides) under uncultured bacterium. RNAcentral describes it as "partial 16S ribosomal RNA". It matches the Rfam family "Bacterial small subunit ribosomal RNA", at positions 524 to 776 of the family's 1533-position model. The record is from RNAcentral.